GAGCACUUUGUUGCCAUCUGGACGGCGGGUGGCGCGCUGUGUGAAGUGGAGGAGGUUCAGGGUGGGUCACCGAAGUUGAACUUGCGGCUGACGCUUGCAUCACCUGUGCAGGCCCCCUAGGUUUCCUUUUGGGCGGCGGUUCGUUCCAGGCGCUGGCGUGGCGUAUUAUCGUCAUCAGCUUAUCUGGCGCCCAUGUGUUUUAGCUCUGGCUGGCGUCGCAGCGCCUGGGCGGCUGUGGGACUUCCUGCACAGCGCGUCUUGCAGCGGACUGGAGCCCGCUUAGUCAGCGCCACAUCCAGCCCGCUUAGUUUUCUGCUUGUGUCUCCUCUGCCGGUUCUCCUGGGGUGUUGCUUAAGCAACCGACUUGUGGGGGUGGGGUGGGUUUGGGCGGGGCGAGUGCGUAGCGCUGGUGUUUUCUUUUCUGGCGCGCGGUGGUGGUGGUUCUUGCGGUUAGGCUGUGGUGUAGGUUGGUGCUUGGGUUAGGUCCGGCGGUGUUUUUGUGCAACCCCUCCCGGGGGGCGGGGGGGCCAGCCUCCUGCUCUGUCUGCCGGGUCGGGGUGGGGUGUGGUGGGAUGGAUGGGGGUGGUUGGUGGCGGUUUUCGAGGUGUUUGCUUUCUGUUUUCUUCUCUUUUCUUCUCUUCUUGCCCUGUCAGGGUUCUGGUCUCGGGGACCAGGCUGCUUUCAGGCAGCAGGGGGGCAGCGCGUCUGCCCCUGUUCAACCUUGUAAGGAUGAUUCCUCAAAAAAAAAAUGUGGUUCGGGAGGUGGUCAGCGAGCUGCGCAGGGUGAUGCAGCUGCGUUUCACUGCCGCCACGCUAACCCCUGAAACCCUGUCGGCUCUGCCCACACAGCUUCUCACCGCACAGCUCAAGGCGGCUAAGCUGGAGCACUUUGUUGCCAUCUGGUCGGCGGGUGGCGCGCUUUGUGAAGUGGAGGAGGUUCAGGGUGGGUCACCGAAGUUGAACUUGCGGCUGACGCUUGCAUCACCUGUGCAGGCCCCCUAGGUUUUCUUUUGGGCGGCGUUUCUUUCCAGGCGCUGGCGUGGCGUUUUAUCAUCAUCAGCUUAUCUGGCGCCCAUGUGUUUUAGCUCUGGCUGGCGUCGCAGCGCCUGGGCGGCUGUGGGCCUUCCUGCACAGCGCGUCUUGCAGCGGGCUGGAGCCCGCUUAGUCAGCGCCACAUCUGGCCCGUUUAGUUUUCUGCUUGUGUCUCCUCUGCUGGUUCUCCUGGGGUGUUGCUUAAGCAACCGACUUGUGGGGGUGGGGUGGGUUUGGGCGGGGCGAGUGCAUACCGCUGGUGUUUUCUUUUCUGGCGCGCGGUGGUGGUGGUUCUUGCGGUUAGGCUGUGGUGUAGUUUGGUGCUUGGGUUAGGUCUGGCGGUGUUUUUGUGAAACCCCUCCCGGGGGGCGGGGGGGCCAGCCUCCUGCUCUGUCUGCCGGGUCGGGGUGGGGUGGGGUGGGAUGGAUGGGGGUGGUUGGUGGCGGUUUUCGAGGUGUUUGCUUUCUGUUUUCUUCUCUUUUCUUCUCUUCUUGCCCUGUCAGGGUUCUGGUCUCGGGGACCAGGCUGUCUUCAGGCAGCAGGGGGGCAGCGCGUCUGCCCCUGUUCAACCUUGUAAGGAUGAUUCCUCAAAAAAAAAAGGUGGCGCCUGCUCGCCACUGGGUAACAGGGGCGUGCGCAGUGCCCCUUGCUCCACCUGCUGCCGCAGAAAGGACGUCAGUGGCUGCAUCUGGAUGACCCACAGGGGUGGUGAGGCGGUGCUGCCCUGCGGCAAGCCGUUCAGCACUGGGAAGGCGUCAGAGAGCAUCCCGUUCACACACCCGCGGGCAGAGCCGUUGGCAGUGAGCAGGCGGAUCCAGCGCAGCAUGCGCGGCCCAAACCCAAGUCCCUCCGCGGACGCAUACAGCCACUGCCGGUGCACCCGGUCAUACUUUUUUUUACUCUCUUCUCUUGCUAUUCUUGCAUCCUCCUUUCCUUCUGCACAGCUUUGAAACAGUCAACGUCAUUUCUCUCGCGCUGUUUGACUUGCUUCCUUUUGUUUUAGGCUUCUUAAGGCCUACGAACCACUGUGAAGCAGUUUGCAUUUGUGGGCGUGCUCGUUUUUCGUCAGUCCACUUUGCAGCUGUAGCGCGACACUCCCUCUCCAGCGCCCUUCAGCCUAUGCCGGCUUGUGCUUUGGAACUCGACACUGCUAUGGAAUAGGUUUCUGGCGGUUCAGGAGCGUCGCCGUGGAGUUGGCGACAUUUCGCUUGUCGGCAUUUUAACAUCUCGGCGAGCACCCACUCUGGGAAAAGGUCUUCCCCGGAAAAAAAUCCGUUCCCGGAAAAAUGCUGAACUUUCCCGUAAGGGGCCAAAACUUUCCCGGAAGGGGGGCGAAACUUCCCCGUAGCCGGGGUUCCCCGGAAUCCCAAAGGGAUAGAUUUGGCGUAUUCUGCUAGUGAUUCGUGUGCUGUACGGGGCGUCAAGUACUUUCCCUUCUAUUACACCGUUCAGCAGGUACCCCUGCUCCUAUUGUGGUGGAUGGCCCACCCCACACCCUCGGCCGCCACUCUUACACACCCUAAUGCCCCCAGCCACCAUCCAUGGCACACCGUCUACCUUCACUUUGAUCAAUCCACCGCCUGGUGGCCCCACCUCCUAACUUAUGCCUUCCUCUUCCUCGACACCCGCAGUGCAUUCUUCACCACAGUUAGUUGCCGCCUUGCCCAUGCUGUGUCGGCACCAAUGCAAAGGAGCGUGCCUAGGGGACGGGACUCAUCCUCUAGCAGGCCCUUGACCAGUUCCAGGCGCUCAUGUGCUGCCCUCAUCUCCUCCGCAUUCCCAUACCCAAACAGGAUGGAAUCGUCCCGUAUCCGUGCCUCAAUCCAGUUUGCCCAUCCCUUGUUGAACAGGUUGCUGUAACCACGGAACUCUGCCUCCUCGCUAUCUGCGAACUCGUAGGCAAGUAGCCGCCGCACCACCUUCUCUCUCUCCUCCUCCUCGUCCCAAUCAUCACCUGUGCCACCCUGACCCUCACCCACGCUUGUGCUCGUAUCCGCGCUCUCAUCCUCACCCUCACUCGAGCUCUUGCUGGUGCUGCCCCCCUCACCCCCACUCCCACUCCCACCCUCACCCUUGCUCUCACUCUCGCCCUCACCCUCUUCGUCACCUUCACCCUCGCCCUUGGCCAGGGUGCUGUUGCGCCGUUUCUCCCAGAGUUCCAUCACGAACGCACGUGCGUCUGCAACUCUCUUCUCAGCGGCACCAAGCGCGGUUGCGUGCACACACGCCGCCCAUUGGGCCUGACUACAGAGAGUGUAAUUGAUGGACAUGGUUGGCUCCAGGUUGCACGCGGCGUGCACGCAACGGGGUUGCGCAACUGCUCCCAUGCCCGGACCGAGUGUUACCAGAUGUCCGCCAAAGGCAGCGUGCAGUUGCUUGAGGAUGGCAGGAGUGAUGAGCCUCAUUGAUGUCAGCAGCAGGUCCAUGUCGGCCUUCUUGGUGCAGCCCUCUAGCAACUGCCUAAAGGAGCCCGGCGCAGUCCAGAACAUCUUCUCACCCGUCAUGACGAUGAGUGCACUUGGGGCAGAAAAGGGGUAGUCCUCGUGGCUGCCAGUGAAGGAGUGCCUGUAUCAGUGGUGAGAAUAGACGGUGCCAUGAUGGCGCAUCUCAGAAAAUGCAGUCUGCAUGGGUCUACCUUUGUUGAAGCCCUGUACAGUCAUUGCCCGGUAGUCUAGGGCAACCUGGUGCACUUCAGAGUGUUAUUCUACACUGGAAGGGACUUACUUGGUGCCUGCAAGCACGUCACACAUGCCCCGGUUGGGUCCAAGGUAGAAGGACGUGUCUGCGCCCUUGCAUGCCUCAAAUAGAGUGUCGUCCUUGAACAGCUGCAAGUCAGCCUGAAGUGAUGCCAACAACUUCUCCAAUGGCAGCGCGCGAGAUGCGUCGUACUUCUCGGGACCAGAAGUGCCCCUGUAUAUGUUCAAGGGUGGCCAUGUGAUGUCAGGCUGGUGUAUACAGGGUUUAGAGUGUGCAGCAGCAACUCACCAGUCCGGAGGCAUGUAUGGCAGACGUAUUCUCCGUGUACAUUGUCUUCCUUGUAGACGGGGACGAGACGUGGAGCCAGUGCUCAUCAAAGGGCCGUUUGUCCACGCCAGUCACACCGUGUAUGGCAGCCGUGCGCCCUUGUCGGUCCUGUGCAUAUUGUCCCAUACAGCUUCGUCAUUGUCAAGUGUUAUGUUGUCACUAUGCACGCAUGAGUACCUGUUCGGUGCAGUCGGUCACGAGCUUGCUUCGCGUGAAAAUUUGUCUGAUGUCGUCCAGCAGCUCCUUGGUCCUGUCAGUUGUCUCAAAAACGGCGAAAGGAAACAGAGCAGAGCCAAGCACCGCAACACCGGCUUUAUCAGUGAAUACUGGGCGAUCCAACAACUCCUCGCAUUUUUCAAGCGAAGUAAGCAAUAGUUCUGUCCGGAAAUGUCGCGCCAUUGUGUUUAAGUACGUCAAAGGAGAAGUGGGUACAAGUUUAUGAAGAGAAACGUCCUUGAACACAAGAUACCCGAUGGGCCGCCGGGCAUCGGCUGACGGCUCUAAGUCCGCACUAACCAAGCAUGGAACCCGUAAUCUUAAGGAUAUGUUUACUCUAUAAGAUGGGCUCUUUACGAUUUAUAGCUUUGAUACUACUUCUGUACGCAUCAGUGAUGGAAGCCGCUGAUGACGCGCAGUUUGCGCUAGUUCGACGAGGACAAGGUGGCAGGCGUUCUGGCUCGCGUCUUCAUUGGGUUUGCAUCAAAUGCAAUUGGACGGUGGCAGACAAGGCGCUGCACGUGUGUCCAAACCCUGCGGCUGCCCAUUACGACCUCGGACUUGACGGCGUGCUCGAAGGUGCGCUCACUGCUUGGCACACCGUUGCAGGCAUACUUCUAACAGCAAUCCUUUGCACCUUCAGACAUCCCGCUUGUCGAGCAAGCACCCCCUUCUGGACGGACCGACACGCAUGUGGAUACACACACAGAACAUGGUGUGUUUUGCAGACCCAAAGGCAGCUGUUACCCUGGGGGCUUUCGCAUGUGGGCACGAGACUGUGUGUGUGUGUGUGGGGGGGGGGGGGGGCACUGGGGCAGCAUGGAACUAGGGCUGGGUGAAUUGUAAGUACCCAUAAGCCAGAACAUACACACAACCCCACCCCACGCUUAUUCCUGAGCAGGAGACCAUGGUGAAAGUCCCACCGUAUCUGGUGACUCUGCACAAGCACCAACUGCCAUGGAUGGUCUGCCAGCCCCGUGUGAUGGAGAAAUUGAUGAUGAUUUCCAAUCGGCCAUGUCCAGUCACUCAGAGGGUGAGUCCUGUCCUUACCAUUCCUGGUGAUAGCAUAACUUAUUGUGAUCAAUGGACAGGAGACGGGGACGCUGAGUUCCGUGAUGCAAUCAACGACCUGGACCCCAUAAACCUGAUGGACUAUGUAGCAGAGUGGUUAGCAGACGAGGUCUCUGGUGCCCCACCCCAGGAGCCAGGGGCACUGGAUCCUGUUGCAGUUGCUUCCUGUGUGUGCGGCUGCACUCAGCCUUACACACCACCAGGCACCCGUGCAUUCUAUCAGCUCCACCUAGACCAUCCGUUGUGGGCCAUACCAGAUCCCCGAUACCCAGGAGAAUACAUCCAGAAGUGCAAGUAUACACUGCGUGAAUUUGCUCAUGCACUGAUGGGCCACAUAAUGAAGUACGGUCCGCGUCGCGACGAGCUUGAAUCAGCAAUGCGCCUUCACUGUGCUACACUCCCCGACAAUCAUGUGUGCCCUUCAUCUUUGUACAUGCUGACUACCCUAUGUGGUGCACCCUCUUGGAAGGACUUUGAGCAGCAUGCAUGUACCAGUGGCCAGUGCACAGGGCACCUGUAUGGAAAGCCAGCCUGUGACGGUACUGACUUGAAAGAUGUGUGUCCCAAGUGUGCCGUGCCAAGAUACAACAUUUCCAAAUUGGGGGGUAAGUGAUGUCGAACCAUGUGGAUGGCGGUACAUUGCCUUACCUGCCCCCCCACCCCCCAACCCCACACACACACCCCCACACACGCACAGACCGUGAGGUGUAUACCCCUUCCAGCUGGUUUGUAUACUUUGGAAUAGAAGAGGUCAUCAGGUCUCAGUUCUUUACAAACCCUGCGUUCUGCAAAGAGCGUGGGAAAUUCCGGACAGACAACCCACCUGGCUCCGCCAUGUGGAAUGGUGAGCAUUGAGAGUUGUUCCUAGUUGUAGGCAUUCCCUGAUCACGACUCUAACACAGGCACAUGGUUUGAACGCAUGCAAAGUGCAACCGGUGGUAAAGUUAACAGCAUGGAUGCUUCGGUCUAUGACUUGGGGAUUGACUGGAUUACCCCGUAUAACUCGACACAGCACUCUAUUGGGCUGAUCUUCAUCCGGUGUGCGGAUGUUGACCCACGCAACAAGGGGAAGUGCUGGAAUCAACACGUCAUUGCUAUCAUAGCAGGCCCAAAGGCUCCAGAAACCAUUGAUCCGAUCAUGCGCCUCAUAGCGUCAGACUUUCUGCGCCUGCAGAAUGGCAUGCAGGUCACAGAGGCAUGGCCAGGUGAGAAUGGGGUCACGCACAGCAGGACAUUCGUACAUCUGGUAUUUCUUGGCGUUGUCAUGGCAGACACACCUGCCCGGGCCAAAGUUUGCAAUGGCAAUGGGCAGAACUCGUACGUUGGCGCGUGCACAUGGUGCGUGUUCCAAGGCAGCAGUGAAGGAGGCACCAUACGGUUUCUGGGCUACCGGGAGCCUGUCCGACAAACAUUUGUUGCCUGGUGAGUUGGAUGCCGUAUCCUGUGCUUGAGGAGCUGUGACACAGUCUCCUGUGCAUGCAGGGUGGAAAACAAGGACAUUCUCGUUGGUGACAAGCUAGUAAAGCUGACCCAUCAACAGCACCUGGAGCGGUCAGAGUUUAUGCAGCAUCUUAAGGAGCGGUUCUUGUUUGGCAGGGCAGAUGGCAAUUCCAUAUCCAUUGCGCAGUGGGACAACGCUAAGCGGCGGUUUGGGGCCAAGGGCUACAAUCCGUUCUCUGUGUUGCCAUACGUAGACCUGUCAUCCCUGUUCACAGUGUCUACUGGUCACGCACUACUGUUUGGUGUUGCGUCAGGAUUCGUGGAAUACCUACUUCGGCCCCUGAAGGACAUUGACCCACAGGCGACGGAUGCUGGUAUUGUGAUCACAGCUGAUGCACGGAAGCUGAUUGCUGAGAGGGGGUCCGCAGUGCAAGUCACGGCUGACUUUGGGAGGCGCUACAAGUGUGUAGUCCAGUACAGGUGUGCAGCCGUGUGAUUGCCGUGUGCAUAUGUCCCUGUGUCACACCCCUCCCAUGUUUUGUGUCACGCAGAAACAGCUACAGGAUGGAAGACUGGUUGCACUUCGUGGAGACGCAUUCCUUGUAUGUUUUCAAGGGUGAUGUUUUGCCAGCUGAGGUUCGUUCACUUUGGUGGGACUUACGCGAUGUUAUAUUGCACCACUUCCGGCCGUACGGGGACGACGUCACCCGGGAGCAGUUCUUACAGCACUCAAGCACGGCAUCUGCCAAGCUAAUGAACUACGCGCGUACUCUGGAGGACUUGUGCCUGCCAGGUAGUCUGCAUACACUCAACCUACACAUAUGCGUGUGCAGGUAAGCCAGGCACGACUGCGUGGAAGACCCGGCAGCGCUCACAUGCUGUGCACAUGCAGGCUUGGUGACCAAGACAUUCAGUUUGGGUCAGCUGCGGCACUCAGUGACCUUCCCGUGGAGCGUGUCAUGCAGGAUAUGAAGUCCCAAGGUGGCCGCAUGGUGACACAGGCUCCUGAGAAGCAUUAUGCCCAAUGGCUAUGCCUCUCACGACACGCCGAGGCAUUUGCCAAAGGUGACAAAUCGGAGGGGGCCCACACAGCACGGGAGCAGCUGGAACAGAUGGUUACACGCAAUACUGAUUAUACACGGCCGUGCUUUGAUAGCCAGGGCUUAGAUGGUUUGUUGGUCGGGCAGGGCACCGCUGUAGCAAAUGCCACACAGGAGCAGAAAGAAUCUGCGCUCUCUGCUGUCAAAUCCCUGGUGUACUACUACCAUGAACUGGAACAUGUUCACACGUGGACUGGGGAAGGCGGCGGACUCCCAGAGGCGCUGAUCCAUUCGGUGUUUACUAACACUGGCACUGGUACACCCCAGGCUCGCGUUUUCAUUCGUGCAGAGUCACCAGACGAGGAGAGGUACUUCAGCAGUGCAUAUGGCCGUGCCCGGUCACGCAACUCGUGUUGGGCAAUGUACAAGGCGGAGGUGACGGUUGGCAAGGGUAGGAAUGCAACUGUGAAGGAGAGCAAGUACGUGGCAUUCAUUCGUUUCUUCUUGUUGUUGCCGUCAGUGAAUGACGGGGCCGUUUCCACACAAGAAGUUAGGGUUGCUGUGGCGGAUGUGUACGAGACAAGGGAGUUUGAAGGAGGGCUGCUGGUGGUUGACUUCAGUGUUGUUAAGGCACAGCAGAUUGGGAAGAAGGAGAGGGAGAGUGACUGGAAGAUGUGGAAGGAUCUAGGUAUCCCUCUCAAAGAGCUGAAGGGGAAAUGCUGUGUGGCCGCUCCACACGGGGACCGCCGGGGCAUCAUGUACUUCAUGCCGUACACACACUUCACAGAUCGCUGAACCGCUGUGUCUGAGGCAGCUGGCCAUGUACAGUGGAGUCUGAUAGAGUAUUGCAUGUGGUGUUACAAUGCUGACAGGCUGUAAACACCAAUUACCAGACUCAAAGCGUUCCACCUGCCCUGCCUAUUUGUGGCUCUGUGGCUGUGCAGCCAUUUGAGAGCCUGUGACCAAAUCCUGCCCAAAGCCCCAGCAGAGUCAGGUUGCCCCAGCUGCGUUUCAUUGCCCCACCUGCCCUACCAGACGCUCAAGUCAUUCCAUCUACCCUGUCUCAACCCUUCAGCCUUGCCUCCUCCUCCUACACCUCCACCUCCACCUCCUCCUCCUCCUCCUCCUGCUAUGCCUCCUCCUCCUCCACCUCCUCCUCCUCCUCCUCCUCCUCCUCCUCCUCCUCCUCCUCCUCCUCCUCCUCCUCCUCCUCCUCCUCCUCCUCCUCCUCCUCCUCCUCCUCCUCCUCCUCCUCCUCCUCCUCCUCCUCCUCCUCCUCUGAAUCUGAUAGGCCCUGAAAGCACAGCUCGGACCGCCAGCUCACAACUGUGUUGUUGGCCACCCACGACUGGUCUGGCAUGGGAACCCGGGGUACCAUACCCUCCAGUGCAUACACGUGCACGUAGGUAAGGAUGACAAUGGGCCUUUGCGGGUCGCAUGCCCACGGCUUGCCGUGCACGCUUCCAGUGACGGACUGUGCAAUGCCACGUGCUAGCGGCUCCCAUUGCGUCGGCACCAACCCAAAGUCAGGGUCAUCAAACUCAUACACAAGGCUGUCAGAACCACCGGGCAUGCCUGUGUCAAAGCUCCAAAAUACACCCGAGAAUGGCCAAGGGUCAGGCAUUUCUUCGUGGGGCAUGUUGUCACGGACCUGGUUAAACAGCAGCCCUAUGACACUGUAGCCUUCAGGAGCGACGUAAUCAGCUGUUGCGAGGAAGGGAUGGACUUUGCCCGAGAGCCUUGCAACGGACUUGCGACGUGAUUCCAGCGGGAAGUGGUGCAGGUGAUACCCCGGAGGGGGUGGCAUUAUGCUAAAACACUGUAUGUAUGUGAAGUAACACAAUGCAAAAUUGGACUGUGGACUGUGCCUCUAAAUUCGCGAGAGUGUGAGUGCCCCAUCACGAACUUCCUACUUGUCCACAAACAGCUUGCUUGUCCCCACUAAUAACACAUUUGUUUACAAAAUCAAUUCCUGCUCGCUACUUAGAGGUCAGAGCAUGUGGAAGUAGCUACACUGUUAAAAACAUGGCCACAGCGGCCGCGGUACCUGGUGCCCUUCUGCCCAAAUGCAUUACGCUUUUCCUAGUAGAACAGAAAGGAACCGGUGACAACACAGUUGUUGACAAUGUGGAGUUUGCGGUCAACGUUGGCUGUGCGGACACUCAGGAGAUUCUUGAAGACAUCCGCUUAGUAGUCGGUGAUGAAAAGGAUGUAAUCUUCAUUGGUGACCGGAGCGGUGGGACUACUGCUCAGAAUAAUAGCAGCUCGUUUGUCAAAGUGCCCAUGGCCUCACUCGACCCGCGCUUGCCUGCAGGAGCGGAGUUGCGGGUCCGAAUUAAGGGUGUUGCCGCGUAUGCGGCUGCUCUGUUCUCAAUCUUCAACCCGCCGAGCCACCCCGACAAGGAUGCCGUGAACAUGGCCACCGCAGCCUUUGCCGCAGAGCGGCCUUUCACCGUGGGCGAGCUUGUAUUGACUGACAAGGGAAACCUGGAACUGUCUGUCAAAUACAUUAAGAGCGUGCAGGCGGCAGAUCCCUUGCUUCGUGGCGGGGCGACCACGGCAGCCUCCAACCUCGACGGGUGCGCGCAAACUACUCGAUAGCAGGAACUUGGGAGUUGCUGAACAAUGUGCCAUACCCUUGCAGGGGUCGAUGCGAAACUGGAGACCCUGGCGCAGCCGGUGGUCACAAAGCUGCACCUAUGCAGCAUGACCCUUCAACAGCCACGUUCACAACCCAGACCAACAGCACUGCUCAGCGGCGGAAGAAGGAGAUCGUGCAGCUACCCACCUUGGUGCAGGGACUGGUGACUGGCAGUUUGAUAGGCAAUCAGGUGGCGGCAGCUGUGAAGCUUGUGACAGAGCACUGCAGGAGUGGCUGGAACCACUUGGUUCGCCAAUGUGAGUGAGCGUGCUUACACAAAUGUGGUAUUCAUGUGUGCAGCUGUAUCUUGCAUUCACUUAUUACACUGUGUCUCACAACCCAUCCCACAUGGGUGCACCCACCCCCUUACAGACUCGCGCGUGUGGCCAGUGGACAAGAAUGGCGCGCAUGUACAGCUGGGCGAGCUGGGUGACGCCCGUGGACACGUGUACACCGACCUACUCACUGGUAUGCAGCAAAAGCACUAGAUGUUAUGCAUAGCAGAAGGCACGAUUCUCGCUCAUACCUACAGGGCUCGUACACUAUGGUUUAUUGACCACGCCAUUCGGUGCUGAGCUGCCUUUCUCUGGCGCCAAGCAGCAGCUUGACCUGUCAUUCUACGGCAGUGUUUGCUGCGCAAUCAGGCGCGAAAACAGCCUUACCACUAAUCCUGACUGCUUCAGUGGGAACACCAAGACCAUGUUCUGGAUUCCAGGCUCGUCACCGCACCCUAGACUGGAGUCCGCAGCAGGUGGCAAGAAAUCAGCGACAGCAGAGGCCGCUCUGUGGAGGGAGAUGCGUGAGUGAGUAACUUCGUGAGUAUGCAUGUGUUACAACACUCUGACUCACAUACAACCACAGGUGCAGCGCCAACUUGAAGCACAACAUGUUUGUCUCCGUUAAGCAUGCCAGUGCUGAUCCGGACAAGUCACUGGACAAGCAAGAGGUCCUAGCUACCACUAAGCGCAGCCAGCCCAUCAACUUCUCAGUCAACAUCACCGGCAUAGGUGACUCCACGAUGGACAUGGCUGUGCUGGAGAGGCAGUACAAGGCGUACUCCAAGUUCCACUUUGGGAAGUCUCAGGGGGGUGGUGGAAGCAGCAGCACUGGAGGGGGCGGUGGCAGCAGUGGGGAGGUUCCACACAUAACCUCACGGGUGCCAGGGUUCCCUAGUUCUCAGCUGGAGCACAUCCUGGAGUCCCGUCUGUUGAUGGCACCUGACAAGGAGAACGAACCCACCUCGUUCAUGUGUGACAUGCUGGCGCGCAGCUCCUAUGGCCGCAAGUGGCGCAAGGCAGCUGACGGCCGCGCCAUGCUGUACAUGCAAUACAGCAAUUCCAGCCGCUUCACUGGCCCCAACCUGUUCGCUCCUGGUGCCAAAGUCCCUCCGCUUGGUCUACUCCUGCGGCUUGGCACUGCAUCAACUUUCCGGGACGCCGGAGCCAUGCUUACAAGUUACAUCGACCGUGGCGGUAAGUGCCCGCUUGCACACCCCUGGAUGGCAUGGAAUGACGCUCUUACUUACAUUGCCAGAUGGACCUACUGCUGCACACCCAACGGCGCUGGCAUCACGUGUGUUUGGCUUCGCACUACCGACUGCGCAGCCUCCACCACCUGAUGAGCAGGUGCCACAGCAGCAGCAGCAGCAGCAACAGCCGCAGCAGCAGCAGCAGCAGCAGCAGCAGCAGCAGCAGCAACAUCAACAGCAGCAGCUGCAGGAGCGAGAGCAUGAGGCAGGUGUAGCAUGCGCAGCUGGUGGCCGACCCACCACCAGUGUAUCCGCUGAAAGUCCUACCUACGUAAGUACACAUCCCGGGUGUGUAGAAACGUUCAUGUCCUAACUGCGCAAUUGAAAUUCAGGAUGGGGCGGAGGUGAACCCAAGGCACGGAGGGGCUGCAACCAACACAAAUGACGGAAUCCAUCAGGUGCGGUUGAUGUUUGGGCAAAACCUGUUUGGGCAAAACCUUAAGCGUCUUUUAUGCUGACCGUGCAUUCGCAUUUAUCUGCCAUUCAGACGACCGCAAGUGGCGGUGCCGGUGGCGGUGGACCGGUGGCAGAGCCACCUCACCUACCUGGGCCACCCCCGGCACCACCAGUUGUGGUGGCAGCAGCGCCGGCAGCCCCUUUGGGAGCGGCAGCGGCAACAGUGGCACCGGCAACGGCGGCAGCGACAGCACCGGUGAGUGUUGGCAUAGUUGGCAGUUUGCACGGUGCCUGCUACCACACUUGUGUGUGCCACAUAUGUGCGGCAAGGGAUCCCGCGGCAAAGCCCACAAUACAUCUACACUUACAGAAGUUGCUCGUUCCACCCCCAGGUGACUGGCUUCACGCUGGACAGCCUUGAAGACAUAGAGGCUCGCUGGGGACUCACGGGAGAGGUCGAUGCCAACCCGCGCGCAGGGCAACGGAAACGAAAGGUGGAGAACCCUGAUGAUGACCUAGGUGUGCGUGUGCGGAAGGAGAAGAAGAAGCAGAAGAAGGCGGCAACACGGGGUGUGGGUGAGGGCCGUGGCCGGGGAGGUUCCAAGGCAAAUGCCAAGGCCAGCACCAAGGCCGGUGCCAAGGCCAGCGCCAAGGCCGGUGCCAAGGCCAGCACGAAGGCCGGUGCCAAGGCUACUGGCCGUGGUAAGAAGCCAGCGGCUGAGGAGGAGCCAGAUUUUAGCUCUGUUUCAGAUAGCGAGGAGGAGGCGGAGUUUGAAAGUGGUUCUAGUUCUGAGGAGGAGGCAGAGGUGGUGGAGGAGGAGGAGGAGAAGGAGGCGGCAGCGGGGAGUGCGCGCCAGAAGGCCACCAAGCAGGGCGAGCGGCGGUCAUCACGCCUGCAGAUGUAGUGAGAGGUUUGGUGAGAGAAUGAAGCAGUAUUGGCCAUUGUGUAGCGUGUUAGCAGCUCCCAAGACUUUCCCGUUCGGGUGCUGAACUUACCCGUAAACGGGCUUCACUUGCCCGUAAGAACUUCCCCGUAAGGACUUCCCCGUACAAACUCCGACUUUCUUCGAAAAGCAUACGGGGAAGAUUUUUCCGGGGAAGCACCCCCUGUUUUUCCGGGGAUUUCCCCCCCCCCUUUUCCCAGAGUGACCACACUUCACCAGCUUGGAGCAGGCGGCGUAUCAACCUUUGUGGUUGGUCAUUUGCAUCCGCGCGUGCAGCAGGGUGCUUUGGGUGUGGCGGUCGGGGGAGCCCUGCAGCACUUGGCUGUUUUUUUAGGGGUGUGGCUCGUCUUCGUGCCCUUGUUGCCUGGCGCCCGGCUGCCUGGCGCCCGCCCUGCUGUGAUGCCCUGUGAGUGCUGAUCUUGGGUAGCUAUGCAGUUGCUGGGUGAUCCUGGUCGGUUCCGCCUGGUGUCUCAGCGCAGCCAAGACACCAGGGGCCAACACCAGCCAUGCAGCACACACACACAUGGCGCGGCCGCAGCAGCACAUGCCGUGCCGUGUGGAGGGCCUGUGUUGGGGCAUCACCGCCCACUGCCAGACUUGGCAGCGGACCGCACCCCUGCAGGUGGGGGCACCGCUGCCAGCCCAUUCUUCAGCCCCGGGCUGCAGCUCCACCUUGCCCUGUCCACGCAUAGCCUGGCGCACGGCGUGCAGGACCUGACGACGCAGCCUCAGGGCCCCAGCCUGCCUACCUACCCAGUCCUUCUGGUGGGUGCCACCACGGGGCUCCCAGAGGGCGAGCAGCUGUCCUCCGCCGGCGUCCGGGAAGUGACCAGCGCUGCCUUGUCAGUGCUGGACACCAUGUGCAGGCAGGGCAACCAGCCGCAGCUCUUGCAGGGCCACUCUCUGCACAGCACAGGCCGCCCCUCCCGCACGUUUGCGGGGCUGGCCUUCAGCCGGUGCGCAACCAGCGCCAGCAAAGCAGCCUUCACAGCGGAGCUCAUGCGCAAGUCGCUGCUGGCGGUACCGCUCCAGCGCGGUCAGGCUGUCCUCACGGUUCACGUGCCAGUGGACAACCGGCCCAUCAUUCCGGGCACCUACACCGUCACGGUCAAGAUGGUAGGGGGCCCUGUGUGGGGGGCUUUCCGCGGUCGCACCGAUUUGGUGCUGCAGGCGGGCGGCUAUAAUAAUAAUAAUAAUAUGUACGCGGUUCACGAAGGAGGCCGCGUUUCUUAAGGAGGAGUGAGUUUUGCUCACCCCACCGUGUCAAAAGGUGGGAAGUUAGCCUGGAUCGCGAGGGCUGGGGCCAGCAGCCGUGGCGCCGCCAGUGGGACCGACGUGGCGUGAGUUCACAAUCCCCAUUUCGCGCUCAAGGCGGUAGUAGAGAAGGGAUGUGGUGCGCAGGCUGAUGACACUGUGCAUGUGUAUGCGCGAGCAGCAGGAUUUUGCUGAUGUGGUGGUGGCACCCAGCGACCGGAGAAGGGGUUCCAAGGUGUUUGACACAGUGCCGCCGUGGCCCAGCGUCACAAUCUGCUCCUUUUUAUAUACUACGUCCCAGCCUGCAUCCCGCAGGGCGUCGGCUAGGCGAGUGUGCUGGGCUUGUUUCUGGUCACACUUUUCGCUGUGGUGGAGGUCCGAUGUGUAACCAACUUCUAUCAGGUAAACUUUGUGUUGCCGUCGGCCGGCGGUUGUAAGGCCGCGGGGCCCACUAGCCCCCACGUCGGAGCAUGGUAGGGAUGGGAUGAACAGGAUGUCAGGCCUCAUCCUUUUUCGGUCGGCCUCGGGGAUAUUGUUGCGCAGCAUCCAUUUGGGGGGGCAGGUGCCCGCACAGUAUUCGGGGCGUGCAUCUGCACUGCUUGCGUCCAUCAACAUGUACCCGCCACCGUUGGCGCCAUGGUGCAGGCAUUCCGCGAUCAUACGGACGGCGGCAUUGUGUUUGGCGAUGCGGGCCCCAACAAGUUGGGGGUGCGCACAGUGGCCGGCAAGGUGGCCUGCGUUGCCCCGUUCGGGGGGGGAUCCAGCGCGCUGGUGAAUCGGGGCGCAGAGUGCACAUGUGUCACUCGCACGUAGUUUGAACAGCGCAAGCCGGGCGGGGCAGAUGAGGCCUCCCUGCCUGGCAUUCUGGAUGAAGCGUCGGAGGCUGUGCCCAGCGCCAGGGUGCGUCAUGUAGGCGGUGCUGGCCCUAGUGUCCAGGUGUGGGGCGGACUCCGCCCACUUGGUCGUGUAGAGUGUGUGUUUGGAAUGACCGCCAUGGGAGGAAGGGUCUAGUGUUUUCAGGAGGCCUCGAUUGAGGUCCGAGAUGUAGUGCACGGUGGUAGAGCCGUCUUCCCGCGUCCGGGUCGUUGCUGGCCACCAGUGUGCGGCGUGGGGGUUAUUGUCAGCGAGCUCCGAGACGUCAGCCGGUUUAGUGCUUGUAGCUACGUCUGCUGCACCUUUAUCGGCUUCUUCAUUACCGUGCAGACCCGUGUGAGAAACGACUUUGAGGAAAACGGUGUGUGCGUCCCUCUUCGCUCGUGCAUGGAGCAAAUCGGCGAUCGAACUCAAAAGUGCCUUAUGUUUGCUCAGAUGUAAGCGACGUGGUUCGUCAAUAGCCCGUUUAAUUAGAUACAAGCUUGCAGCUGAGUCACUGGCAAUGGUUAGCGUUUUCUUCGCGAACAUACUAGUUUCACCUCCGAAUUCUUCCAGGGCUGCACGAAUUGCAGCGAGCUCGGCGCGUGUAAUAGUGUUAGUGCAGCCAAAUCCAUUUGGGUUUACGUAGACAACACGGUCUUUAUGCCAAGCACAAGCCCCAGCCACUUGUAGUUCUCUACCGGUUUCAGUCGUUGUCUUGGAUACCGAGCCAUCGGUCCAUACAAUUUCCUCGGGGUUGUGGGCCAGCGGCAGUGUACGUUGGAAUUGUGUCCGAUUCAACCUCGGUGUCGCUGGAGCUUCGUCAGGCGUGACCAUAGUGGCAAUGUUCAGGUGAGUUGCGAGGUACUUGGCAUGUUUGGAGGUGUGACGUGGGAUGUGGGGACACGACGUGUUUAACGUGCCGGACCCGAGGUGGGUGUCAGCGACGGUUGCGGGUGCGUGGGGGCCGGCUACCAGUGAGGAGCGAAGGCCUUUCCAGCUCUGCGUGAAGGCGUUUAGCCCAGCUGUGUUGCCAACGGCAACUAGUAUGGCUCCGCGUUGCUUCUGCAGGGGCACGUCAGUGCCGAGUCCAGGCUCCAUCCCAGCUGUGCCUGGGGAGUCCAGUUCUCCGUUCGUCCAGGUGGCGAGUCGGCGGCAGAGCGGGUGGGUUAGCCACUGUGUGUGUGGGUAAGUUGCGCACUUUGGGAGGACUAGAAUGGUCAGUGUGGGUUCCGGGGAGUUGUUGACUGUCUCGGCACUGGCGAGGGCCCAUACGAGGGCCUGUCGUGAGGCAUCAGGGUUUGCAGGAGGGUGUGCAUAGUGGAGCCCCGUCCAUGCAGUGCUGUAGGCAUCGUGUUGGGCGCCGAACACCACAUCAGCGGCUUCCCGGCUCCAGUAUUCAUCGGCAUCGGUCGUGUGGUUCAGGGGUGAGGCAAACAUUUCCUUGACCCUCCCCCUGCCGGUGUUUCGCAGGCUGCGCACAACGGCUCGGACGGUUGCCGAGGGGAGGGACGUCUGGUGCUGUGGUGCCGUCUUAUGAUCAGUUUGCCCCGGGUCGCGCCGGUAUCGGUGCAGCAGGGCAGCCACCGCCUCCUCGAAGGCCUUGGUCCGGUUGUUGUUGGUCCGGUUGAAGCUUUCCCAGAGCGUUUGAAGGCGUGCGUAGGUGAGCAUGCCGAGCCAGCGUCCGCUGGGUUCAUAGACAUGGGCCUCUCGGGGGAGGGCCCGGCCUGCUGUGGGGGUGGUGAUGGCGUAGCUGCCUGGGGGGGAAACGUCGUGGUAGGGAUCGCUGGGGACGGUAGAGAUGAUGGUUGCUGCGCGGGUCACCCGUGCACGCAUUGCUUGAUCGUCCGGGUCGUCAUCGUGCCGGCCCUGGCGUUGCCGCAUUGUCAGGUUGCGAUCCUUCGGAGGCCGUGUGGGGCGGGCGGGUGCAUCAGGUCCCGCUGCAAGUCGGUUGGUGUAUUCUGAGAUCAGCUCCUCCCACUCCAGGUCAUGCUUAAGGUCACGCUCACGCUCAUUGCUGUUUGCCCACGUAACUUGGCGCAGGAGACGAGUCGACCUUGAUGAAAAGAGGGCCGCACGUGGGGCAUGUGUUGUCUCGAGUGGCCCGGGCGCAGGUGCGGUGGGCGGCGCGUGUGUAGGUAGGAUGCCGGCGGGUUGGGCCGCUGUUGCUGUGUCUGCGUCUGUCGUGCCGGCCCCGUCUGGGUGGGGCUGCAUUGUGCGUGGGCGAGCCUGCAGUGGGUGCUUGUAGCAGCGCACGUCUGUGACCGUGGCGUAGCCCAUGCGUGAGAAGGCGGUGACUAGGCCGGGUGGGAUGACAGAUGGCUUCCAUUGGACCGCGAAGUAUGGCUCGCGGGUGUUGGUUGUGUCCUCGCCCGCUUUGUGUUUGCGUGCAAUUUCCUUAUCUGUGGCAGUUUGUUGGUUUGUGCGGUACAGGAUGGCCGCCAGCUCCUGGCCAUCAUUAUCCAGGUCGUAGGUAAGCUGCGCAUCUCCGUUGGUGCAGUCAUCGGUGGGAGGGUGGACCAGGUCCUUGACUACACGUUNNNNNNNNNNNNNNNNNNNNNNNNNNNNNNNNNNNNNNNNNNNNNNNNNNNNNNNNNNNNNNNNNNNNNNNNNNNNNNNNNNNNNNNNNNNNNNNNNNNNNNNNNNNNNNNNNNNNNNNNNNNNNNNNNNNNNNNNNNNNNNNNNNNNNNNNNNNNNNNNNNNNNNNNNNNNNNNNNNNNNNNNNNNNNNNNNNNNNNNNNNNNNNNNNNNNNNNNNNNNNNNNNNNNNNNNNNNNNNNNNNNNNNNNNNNNNNNNNNNNNNNNNNNNNNNNNNNNNNNNNNNNNNNNNNNNNNNNNNNNNNNNNNNNNNNNNNNNNNNNNNNNNNNNNNNNNNNNNNNNNNNNNNNNNNNNNNNNNNNNNNNNNNNNNNNNNNNNNNNNNNNNNNNNNNNNNNNNNNNNNNNNNNNNNNNNNNNNNNNNNNNNNNNNNNNNNAUCGCUGGGGACGGUAGAGAUGAUGGUUGCUGCGCGGGUCACCCGUGCACGCGUUGCUUGAUCGUCCGGGUCGUCAUCGUGCCGGCCCUGGCGUUGCCGCAUUGUCAGGUUGCGAUCCUUCGGAGGCCGUGUGGGGCGGGCGGGUGCAUCAGGUCCCGCUGCAAGUCGGUUGGUGUAUUCUGAGAUCAGCUCCUCCCACUCCAGGUCAUGCUUAAGGUCACGCUCACGCUCAUUGCUGUUUGCCCACGUAACUUGGCGCAGGAGACGAGUCGACCUCGAUGAAAAGAGGGCCGCACGUGGGGCAUGUGUUGUCUCGAGUGGCCCGGGCGCAGGUGCGGUGGGCGGCGCGUGUGCAGGUAGGAUGCCGGCGGGUUGGGCCGCUGUUGCUGUGUCUGCGUCUGUCGUGCCGGCCCCGUCUGGGUGGGGCUGCAUUGUGCGUGGGCGAGCCUGCAGUGGGUGCUUGUAGCAGCGCACGUCUGUGACCGUGGCGUAGCCCAUGCGUGAGAAGGCGGUGACUAGGCCGGGUGGGAUGACAGAUGGCUUCCAUUGGACCGCGAAGUAUGGCUCGCGGGUGUUGGUUGUGUCCUCGCCCGCUUUGCGUUUGCGUGCAAUUUCCUUAUCUGUGGCAGUUUGUUGGUUUGUGCGGUACAGGAUGGCCGCCAGCUCCUGGCCAUCAUUAUCCAGGUCGUAGGUAAGCUGCGCAUCUCCGUUGGUGCAGUCAUCGGUGGGAGGGUGGACCAGGUCCUUGACUACACGUUCCCGGGCUAGUUUCCAAAGUGUUUGCUUGCCCCGCCGGCGAGACAGCCUGAGUGGUGAGGCUUGCUGCCUAUCGUCCGCUUCCAUCAGGUCGUGCUGACUAUCGUCCACUUCCAUUUGGUCGUGCUCAGGUGCUGCGGCGUCGACGUCCAUUGGGUCCUCAGCGGCGGCCGCGGCUGGCUGCCCUUGGUGGAGGUAGGUUUGCACGGCGCCAGUAGACGGCAUGGUCGCAUUCGCAGUGAGCAGAGUGGUUAUUGCGGGGGCCAGGGGCCGUUGCGUGCGGGUAACCGGGGUUCGGUUAUUGAAUGAAGGGGGGUCCCUUGAGUGGGGCUUGCAGAGGUGGUUGUGCCUGCUCAUGUCUUUUGCCAGGGCCGUGAACACUGAACGUGCCGUUUUGUACCCACGUGUGCCAACGGCCAGGCUUUCGUCUCCAUUUGUGAGGCGCAUAGCCGUGCUGAUUGCGGCUUUAUCACCGGUGAGCAGGUCGUCGGGUGUUGUGCGCGUGUUUUCUGCAAUGCGGGCCUUUUGGGCAGCGUGUUUCGUGACGCGGCGGGAGUGGGCAGUUGGGUGUGUGGGAGUGCGCAUGACGGGCGUCUUCCGUGGCCGUGCCACCGGGUUAUUGUGGAAAUGCUGCGCCGCCGUGGUGGUCAGCUGCGCCGCUGCACGCUGCCACUCCGCCUCCCGCUCCGCCAGCCGCGACUGUGCCGCCGGCUGGGUCCCCGAACCCCCCGCCUGCUGUGCUGGCGCCGGGCACGGCAUGGCUGCGGGGCGGGCCGGAGCCAGAGGGGCGGCCGGGUUUAUUUUUUGAGGAAUCAUCCUUACAGGUUGAACGGGUUGGCCGCGGUGAUGGCCCGCCGCACGUCCUGCACCGUGUAGUCCGCCAAGCUGACACCCGCAAUUUGGCAGAGCUCCGGGUGCACCACCACCCCAGCCUCCGGCGCCAGGAAGUACGGCGCCCGAGGCCACGCCCCCGCCCGUUCCCCUGGUGAUGCUGCAUCGUACGCCGCCCGCUCUUCAAAGACUCUCGGCUGGAGCACUUUGUUGCCAUCUGGACGGCGGGUGGCGCGCUUUGUGAAGUGGAGGAGGUUCAGGGUGGGUCACCGAAGUUGAACUUGCGGCUGAUGCUUGCAUCACCUGUGCAGGCCCCCUAGGUUUCCUUUUGGGCGGCGUUUCUUUCCAGGCGCUGGCGUGGCGUAUUAUCGUCAUCAGCUUAUCUGGCGCCCCAUGUGUUAUAGCUCUGGCUGGCGUCGCAGCACCUGGGCGGCUGUGGGCCUUCCUGCACAGCGCGUCUUGCAGCGGGCUGGAGCCCGCUUAGUCAGCGCCACAUCUGGCCCGUUUAGUUUUCUGCUUGUGUCUCCUCUGCCGGUUCUCCUGGGGUGUUGCUUAAGCAACCGACUUGUGGGGGUGGGGUGGGUUUGGGCGGGGCGACUGCGUAGCGCUGGUGUUUUCUUUUCUGGCGCGCAGUGGUGGUGUUUCUUGCGGUUAGGCUGUGGUGUAGGUUGGUGCUUGGGUUAGGUCUGGCGGUGUUUUUAUGCAACCCCUCCUGGGGGGCGGGGGGGCCAGCCUCCUGCUCUGUCUGCCGGGUCGGGGUGAGAUGGGGUGGGUUGGAUGGGGGUGAAACANCCAAGUGCUGCAGGGCUCCCCCGACCGCCACACCCAAAGCACCCUGCUGCACGCGCGGAUGCAAAUGACCAACCACAGAGGUUGAUACGCCGCCGGCUCCAAACUGGUGAAGUUUGGUGCUCCCCGAGAUGUUAAAAUGCCGACAAGCGAAAUGUCGCCAACUCCACGGUGACGCUCCUGAACCGCCAGAAUCCUAUUCCAUAGCAGUGUCGAGUUCCAAAGCACAAGCCGGC
Molecule: long non-coding RNA, 21023 nt
Filed under: Chlamydomonas reinhardtii
Lineage: Eukaryota; Viridiplantae; Chlorophyta; Chlorophyceae; Chlamydomonadales; Chlamydomonadaceae
Description: long non-coding RNA (CREI_LNC000530)
Source: RNAcentral